GUGAGUAUAGAUCAGUAGCAGAGCACAUGCCUAGCAUGCAUGAGGUCCUGGGUUUAAUCCCCAGUACCUCCA
Molecule: transfer RNA, 72 nt
Filed under: Camelus bactrianus (Bactrian camel)
Lineage: Eukaryota; Metazoa; Chordata; Mammalia; Artiodactyla; Camelidae
Also listed under: 2 other names
Rfam family: tRNA
About the family: Transfer RNA (tRNA) molecules are approximately 80 nucleotides in length.
Source: Rfam by way of RNAcentral